This 1386-nucleotide ribosomal RNA is filed under the name uncultured bacterium. RNAcentral describes it as "bacterial SSU rRNA". It matches the Rfam family "Bacterial small subunit ribosomal RNA". The record is from RNAcentral.
GAAUUCGCCCUUAGAGUUUGAUCCUGGCUCAGGACCAAUGCUGGCGGCGCGCCUAACACAUGCAAGUCGAACGAGCGAGAGAGAGCUUGCUUUCUCAAGCGAGUGGCGAACGGGUGAGUAACGCGUGAGGAACCUGCCUCAAAGAGGGGGACAACAGUUGGAAACGACUGCUAAUACCGCAUAAGCCCACGGCUCGGCAUCGAGCAGAGGGAAAAGGAGCAAUCCGCUUUGAGAUGGCCUCGCGUCCGAUUAGCUAGUUGGUGAGGUAACGGCCCACCAAGGCGACGAUCGGUAGCCGGACUGAGAGGUUGAACGGCCACAUUGGGACUGAGACACGGCCCAGACUCCUACGGGAGGCAGCAGUGGGGAAUAUUGCACAAUGGGGGAAACCCUGAUGCAGCGACGCCGCGUGGAGGAAGAAGGUCUUCGGAUUGUAAACUCCUGUUGUUGAGGAAGAUAAUGACGGUACUCAACAAGGAAGUGACGGCUAACUACGUGCCAGCAGCCGCGGUAAAACGUAGGUCACAAGCGUUGUCCGGAAUUACUGGGUGUAAAGGGAGCGCAGGCGGGAAGACAAGUUGGAAGUGAAAUCCAUGGGCUCAACCCAUGAACUGCUUUCAAAACUGUUUUUCUUGAGUAGUGCAGAGGUAGGCGGAAUUCCCGGUGUAGCGGUGGAAUGCGUAGAUAUCGGGAGGAACACCAGUGGCGAAGGCGGCCUACUGGGCACCAACUGACGCUGAGGCUCGAAAGUGUGGGUAGCAAACAGGAUUAGAUACCCUGGUAGUCCACACUGUAAACGAUGAUUACUAGGUGUUGGAGGAUUGACCCCUUCAGUGCCGCAGUUAACACAAUAAGUAAUCCACCUGGGGAGUACGACCGCAAGGUUGAAACUCAAAGGAAUUGACGGGGGCCCGCACAAGCAGUGGAGUAUGUGGUUUAAUUCGAAGCAACGCGAAGAACCUUACCAGGUCUUGACAUCCUACUAACGAGAUAGAGAUAUGUUAGGUGCCCUUCGGGGAAAGUAGAGACAGGUGGUGCAUGGUUGUCGUCAGCUCGUGUCGUGAGAUGUUGGGUUAAGUCCCGCAACGAGCGCAACCCUUGCUAUUAGUUGCUACGCAAGAGCACUCUAAUAGGACUGCCGUUGACAAAACGGAGGAAGGUGGGGACGACGUCAAAUCAUCAUGCCCCUUAUGACCUGGGCUACACACGUACUACAAUGGACAUUAACAGAGGGAAGCAAUACAGUGAUGUGGAGCAAACCCCUAAAAAUGUUCUCAGUUCAGAUUGCAGGCUGCAACCCGCCUGUAUGAAGAUGGAAUUGCUAGUAAUCGCAGAUCAGCAUGCUGCGGUGAAUACGUUCCCGGGCCUUGCACACACCGCCCGUCA